This is a non-coding RNA of Doryrhamphus excisus (bluestripe pipefish), 4447 nucleotides long. The record is from RefSeq and is a predicted model, not a curated record. NCBI's taxonomy places the organism in Eukaryota, Metazoa, Chordata, Actinopteri, Syngnathiformes, Syngnathidae.
GGGGGGAAUUUUUCAAAUGUAUUUCCAUAAUAUUUCUUGUGAUCUUUACAGCGUUAUAAAAGUGAGCCACAUCCACGAGUUAUAUUUGUCUUCACACCUUGUAAAAGAAUAUAAACCUUGGCUGGAGUCGUUAGAAAAUAGACUUUAAUCUACAUGGGGGCGGGGUGUAACAGAAUCAUACAUGGCAGAUACAUGUCCAGACAUUGAAAUACUGCUCAGCUGAAAAUAGAAAAAGAAAUGUUUUCACAGCUGUUUGACAGGAGACACAUUGUAGUUUGAAUAAAAAUCACAUCAAGUGAUUGACAUUUCAUUUAGACAUGUUUAUGUGUACAAAGGCGUAUAAAACAAGUACAAUAAUGGACAAACAAUGGGUGUAAACACUUUUUUUUUUUUUGCGUAUAUGUGCUAUUUCAUGACGCCAGCGUCCCACAAGUCGGAUCAACCGCAAACUGCCUUCGUUCCAUCACAGGCAGCCUACACAAAGUCUCAAAAGUAUUCUAAAACUACACCUGUAGAUUCAACUAGCAUACAAAGGAAAACGGGCGAUGGCGUACAGUCUGCUCAAGCCUUUACGAGGAGAGCACCGUGGUGUCAUUUGCAGUGUGUCCAUUGGUCCCUUUUGGUAGCUGGUUUGAAGUUGUGAUGAGGCACAGCAGGUGUCAACAACACAACAAGGCGUACGAACUGGAGAUGAAAACGGGCGUAUUUCCAGUAUUGCAUCGGACAGAGCCAGCUCGUGUAGCAGUAGGUCUUUGGGCAGAGUCUCCAAAAGUGUCCAGCAUGGAGCUCAAGUGCUUGCUUUGAAAUGUGAAAUGGCACUCGGGGAUAACUCGGUGCGCUUUUCACCCUCCUGUCCCUGGUUGCUUUUCAUUUGGCGUCGGUGGACAGCUGCUCCAGCAGAGGGUUGGCCUCGCUCUCGGGGGUUUUGACGCUGUCGGUCCUCACGAUGCAGGUGGGCCGGUGGAGGUUGAGCAUCACCAUGAGCUGCUGCCUCUCCAGGCGCAGCUCCUCGAUCUGGGCUUUCAGCUCAGAGUUCACCAUCUCCAGGCGUUCUGAUUCCUGGAAGGACAAGAUGAAACUUGACUGUGUGCACGUUGCUCAUUCUGGGCUGUGCUGACGAAAUGUUUUAGGUCAGCCGCUGGGGUGGAGUCUCAUCAGUAUGCAGCGCUUGUGUGAGGAACUCACCCUUUGGAGGAAGUCCGUUCGCUCCUUCUUCUUGUUUCGGCAUCGCGCUGCCGCUACUUUGUUUUUUUCUCGCCUUCGUUUCCUCCUCUCUUCAUCUUCGUCCAUCUGCAAAGCAAUAAACCAUUAGUGUGAAACCAGAACUUACAAGUAAUUCUUGUCCUAACCACUCAAGGGGGGCAAAAAUUGAAACUUAGAAUUACAUGAAAAAUGUAUGAAUAUAUGCUAGUAAAACAUCCACACGUUGGCUUGGAUUUGAAACAGCUAUGCACCAAAAAUGGCCCACGGACCACAUUUGGGACACCUCUGUAUGAACUUUUUGUUUUCGUUUUCUCUGUGCUUAUUAGGCAAACAUCUCUGGAGCCGCUUCCUCUUUCUCUCCUCCCCGCUCACCUCUGUUUUGAUGGCGAGCGGCCUCUUCCCUAGCCGCCCCAGGAAGUGCAGCGGCGAGAACAUGGCGCCCAGCUGGUGGAAGUCGGCCAGUUUCAGCUGGUCGGUGAGCGUGGUGGCCGAGAUGCCCGCCAGUGGGCCCAGGCUGGGCAGAGAGCCCGCCGCCAGCGAAGGGUCCGGUAUCUGUCCCGGCAUCAUGUCCAACCCCGGCCACCCCCGCCGCUACGAGAGACACAGGAAAGAGAAGGCGUGUUUAGACAUUUAGCAGGUAUCUCAUCUUGCAGCCCCCUCAUAGCAACAUCAUCUUUUUGGCCGCUGACCUCACCAUCGUGUGUCUUCUUGUCAUCUACCAUCGCCAUAACAACAACUUGUUUCUGCAUGACAUCAUUCAACGGCCACGAAAGCUAGGUUUUAUCAGGGUGGAGAAUGAAGACAUCUUAAAGUCGCGGCGGAGAUGGGAAACACAUGUUGCAGAUGCAUGACGACACGCUGUCCUUCCGUUCAACCUCGUGUGAGCACAGAAGACACAUGCGUUUCUGGACUAUUGAAUUCCUCCAGUAGUCAAGGAACAUCUAAGGGACUUGAGACGGGCGGUAGCCAGCAAGCUAACCAGUUAGCUUCAAAUAAGAAGAAGCCAAAAAUGUACCACUUCUACACUGGAUGAGAGGAGAACCUUUGGACAUGCCAUGGCUGACUUCAUGCAGUGUUGAGGUCACAGAUGAGAUGGAGCCUAACCCCGCCUACUUUGGACAAGAGAUAAACUACACCCAAGACUGAUUACUUGUCCAUCAGAGUGUUGAUAUAGAGUAACUACACAUCACUGCACUAUUCUAAUUUGGUUCCGCCGUGAUUUAUGUCUCGCAUCUGAGGGGAGAUCAUCAUCGCGUGCGUGCGUCACAGUCACUCCGAACAUAGACGUGGAACACAUCUCAGAGGUGGCCAGCGGGGUUAAUAAAGCAGAACAGAUCGUGAAACAGGAGACGUCUGGCCGUGCAUGAAUAGUCAGGAAAGACGCCUUCUCACCUUGAUGAGCGUUACAACUGUUGGCUGCAAACAGACACUUGCACCAUCAGAAUGGAAGAAGUCAACCCUGCCAUAAACGCAAUGUUGGAGAGUUGAGACCAUCCAUCAUAAACUCUGACGCGGCGAGACCGCCUCUGAGAGCCUCAUCGCCCUCCGCCAAGGCAUCCAUCUCUGAGAGGUUGAAGGAGAAGACGCUGCGGUAGUUGCAAGCGGGGCUGGAAGACGGCAGACAUUCAAGGUCACCGGCCACAGACUUGUACAGGGUUUCCCAGUCGGGGAGGCAGAGGGGCCCGCUCAGGUCCAUGAUGUCGGGGACGAACUCCGCACCGGCUACCUCGGACGCCACCGCCUCCAUCUCUAGGCUGGGCACCAGGUCAUCCAAAUCGUCCUUUAGGUCCUCCAGGGCUGCUGCUUCAUCAGCGCUCGAGCACAGCAGGAUGUUGGAGUUGCCCAAUAUGGCCGCAGCUGGGAUGCAACGAUCUGUUUCUUGAACUGUGGUGCUUUCAGGCAACAUCUGUGGGGAAGCUGGCGCAUCCUGCAGCAUCGUUGCAUCCUCCUCGCCCUGCUCUUCAGUUUGCUGGAGUUUGCAGGACGACUCAUGCGAGGCCAAGACCUGCUCCAGUCUCUCCUUUUCCUUCAGGAGCUCCUCUAUCUCUGACUGGAGGCUGGACUUCUCUUCCUCUAGCUGCUGCUGAUGAAAGCGAGUCAGACGGAUGCAUGCUGCACCCUGGGGUGUCCCCGCCAGGCGAUGCUGUGCUGCAGCUGGACGAGGAGUCGAACUCAGCGCUGGAAUCCGGGUGCAUUAUUAUUAUUAUUUUAGUAUUUAUAUCUGAGGGGGAAAUAAAUACAAUUCAGGGCAUUUAAAAAACGGAGGCGCUAGAUGUAAAAAAAACACACACAAAAAAAACAAAAAUGGUUACUUAUCUUCCAUUAGCCAGCUUGAUAUUGAAUGGUACAGAGUGCAGAGUGGAGAGGAGGACCCGCCUUUUAUAGUGAGCUGGAAUUUUAUGAAUGAAAUGUGGGAGAGCGGACCAUUCUACAGAGAAAAGGGGGGUGGGGAAAUACGAAAACACGGGUGCCAUUCUUUCUUUAAAGCAUCGUAUCAUUACAACAAAUCACCAACUAGGAACACAUUGUAUCAUUUUUUAAUGCAUAUGGCAAAAUAAUAUUGUAUGAGGCGAUACCCCCCCUGCGCAGAAGAGGCGACCCUCUGCAUGAAUGAACGACGUCACGUAAUGCAUGCAGCAUCUGCAUCAUAUACAUCAUGCACCAUUGUCUCGUAACGCUGCAGCAUGUAAGCUAGCAAUGCCUUCCGAAGCCCCGCCUCUGCUAUCAUUGUGUGAUUUUUUUAAUUGUUAUAUUAUUUUAUAUGGCUACUAAAUCAAGAGUAAAAUCAUCUCUCAGUGUCGUGUCCUGCCGCUGCGUGUCGAAGGAGACCUCCGGCAAAAGAAGCAACCAAUAGCCAAACACAUCGGACCAUAUAUGGCACUUCCGGUGGGCAGGGGCGCAACACAGUUGAGAGUGCGCUCAGAGCCCCCCGCCCCCAACCGCGCGCGCACACAGCACGCCGAACAAGACAGCUAAGGUGUGCGCCUGAUGACGUCAGUAAUUGAUCAGUGCUUUAUUUAGCAGGAAGAAGAGAGGCAGUGAUGAAAGCAACACAAUGUUCCAUGAUGCAUUCAGUGACAGUUGGGAGUUUUCACUUAACGAUGUGACUAUAAAAGGAGACUUCACUUAGCUUAGCAUCAUUUGAAGCAGGGAUAUCCCGGCCCUUGACAGGGACCAGUUCAAAACUGACAAUACAGAGCGCACUUGUGAUAUAGAAGAUCUUUGACGGCACAAAACGAGUGGU